GAUGAACGCUAGCGGCAGGCUUAACACAUGCAAGUCGAGGGGUAGAGUUAGCUUGCUAACUUGAGACCGGCGCACGGGUGCGUAACGCGUAUGCAAUCUACCUUGUACAGAGGGAUAGCCCAGAGAAAUUUGGAUUAAUACCUCAUAGUAUUAUUGAAUGGCAUCAUUUAAUAAUUAAAGUUCCAACGGUAUAAGAUGAGCAUGCGUCCCAUUAGUUAGUUGGUAAGGUAACGGCUUACCAAGACAAUGAUGGGUAGGGGUCCUGAGAGGGAGAUCCCCCACACUGGUACUGAGCCACGGACCAGACUCCUACGGGAGGCAGCAGUGAGGAAUAUUGGUCAAUGGACGCAAGUCUGAACCAGCCAUGCCGCGUGCAGGAUGACGGUCCUAUGGAUUGUAAACUGCUUUUAUACAGGAAGAAACACUCGGACGUGUCCGAGCUUGACGGUACUGUAGGAAUAAGGAUCGGCUAACUCCGUGCCAGCAGCCGCCGUAA
This 496-nucleotide ribosomal RNA is filed under the name uncultured bacterium. RNAcentral describes it as "partial 16S ribosomal RNA". It matches the Rfam family "Bacterial small subunit ribosomal RNA", at positions 28 to 523 of the family's 1533-position model. The record is from RNAcentral.